ACAACGCCUCACGUAACGGUGAAACCGCGAAUGGCUCAUUAAAUCACAYUCUAGAGUCUACUGUGAUAGUUAACAGUUACUUGGAUAACUGCGGUAAUUCUGGARCUAAUACAUGCACAAACGCACUCGAACUUACUUGAGAGGCAGCUUUUAUUAUGUAUCAAAACCAAACAGCUUUUCCAAGCGUUGUUCUCUGGUGACUCUGAAUAACUUUGGGCUGAUCRCAUACCCUUGCSCUGGCGACAUAUCCUUCGAAGGUGUGCCCUAUCAACUGUCKACUGUGGMAUARACUCCCACRGUGGUUUUGACGGGUAACGGGGAAUCAGGGUUCGAUUCCGGAGAGGGAGCCUUAAAAACRGMUACCACAUCUAARGAAGGCACCAGGCACGCAAAUUACCCAAUGACCGAAGGUCRAGGUAKUGACAAAAAAUAACGAUACGGGACUCAUCCGAGGCCCCGUAAUCGGAAUGAGUACACUUUAAAACCGUCCCCGAGGAUCUA
RNAcentral lists this ribosomal RNA (501 nucleotides) under uncultured eukaryote. RNAcentral describes it as "partial 18S ribosomal RNA". It matches the Rfam family "Eukaryotic small subunit ribosomal RNA", at positions 66 to 549 of the family's 1831-position model. The record is from RNAcentral.